This 279-nucleotide unclassified non-coding RNA is filed under the name plant metagenome. RNAcentral describes it as "partial contains small subunit ribosomal RNA, internal transcribed spacer 1, and 5.8S ribosomal RNA". The record is from RNAcentral.
UUUCCGUAGGUGAACCUGCGGAAGGAUCAUUACAGAGACGUGGAGCAAACGGGUAUAUAUCCCACCCUACGUUUAUCUUACUUUUUUUUCUUUCCAUACCCAUACUAUUUCACACUGACAACUGAUUGUAAUGUGUGCCUUAUCGCCAGAGAGAAAAUCACAUUCUUAGUCUCUUUUGUUAAAAAAUUUGUCAAAUUUUAUAAACUUGUGUACAACUCCUAUCAAUGGAUAUCUUGGCUCUCGCAUCGAGGAAGAACGCAGCAUAACGGAAGAUCACAC